CUGCUGCCUUCCGUAGGAGUCUGGUCCGUGUCUCAGUACCAGUGUGGGGGACCUUCCUCUCAGAACCCCUACGCAUCGUCGCCUUGGUGGGCCGUUACCCCGCCAACAAGCUAAUGCGACGCAUGACCAUCCGUAGCCGGAAUCGCUUCCCUUAAACCCACAGAGAUGCCUCCAUGGGUUGUUACGCGGUAUUAGACGGAAUUUCUUCCGCUUAUCCCCCUGCUACGGGCAGGUUUCAUACGUGUUACUCACCCGUGCGCCGGUCGCCGGCGGG
RNAcentral lists this ribosomal RNA (274 nucleotides) under uncultured bacterium. RNAcentral describes it as "partial 16S ribosomal RNA". The record is from RNAcentral.